GACGAACGCUGGCGGCGUGCUUAACACAUGCAAGUCGAACGGAAAGGCCCUGCUUUUGUGGGGUGCUCGAGUGGCGAACGGGUGAGUAACACGUGAGUAACCUGCCCUUGACUUUGGGAUAACUUCAGGAAACUGGGGCUAAUACCGGAUAGGAGCUCCUGCUGCAUGGUGGGGGUUGGAAAGUUUCGGCGGUUGGGGAUGGACUCGCGGCUUAUCAGCUUGUUGGUGGGGUAGUGGCUUACCAAGGCUUUGACGGGUAGCCGGCCUGAGAGGGUGACCGGCCACAUUGGGACUGAGAUACGGCCCAGACUCAUACGGGAGGCAGCAGUGGGGAAUAUUGCACGAUGGGCGGAAGCCUGAUGCAGCAACGCCGCGUGCGGGAUGACGGCCUUCGGGUUGUAAACCGCUUUCGCCUGUGACGAAGCGUGAGUGACGGUAAUGGGUAAAGAAGCACCGGCUAACUACGUG
Molecule: ribosomal RNA, 468 nt
Filed under: uncultured bacterium
Lineage: Bacteria
Description: partial 16S ribosomal RNA
Rfam family: Bacterial small subunit ribosomal RNA
Source: RNAcentral